RNAcentral lists this ribosomal RNA (202 nucleotides) under uncultured bacterium. RNAcentral describes it as "partial 16S ribosomal RNA". It matches the Rfam family "Bacterial small subunit ribosomal RNA", at positions 1301 to 1500 of the family's 1533-position model. The record is from RNAcentral.
UAGGCAGCAACUCGCCUACACGAAGCUGGAAUCGCUAGUAAUCGCGGAUCAGCACGCCGCGGUGAAUACGUUCCCGGGCCUUGUACACACCGCCCGUCACACCAUGAGAGUCUGUAACACCCAAAGCCGGUGGGAUAACCUUUAUAGGAGUCAGCCGUCUAAGGUAGGACAGAUGAUUAGGGUGAAGUCGUAACAAGGUAGC